RNAcentral lists this non-coding RNA (31 nucleotides) under Mus musculus (house mouse). Lineage: Eukaryota; Metazoa; Chordata; Mammalia; Rodentia; Muridae. The record is from RNAcentral.
UCUUGUGCUGUUUUGGGAAGCUUUGGUCUGU